This is a non-coding RNA of Ustulina deusta, 87 nucleotides long. The record is from the annotation of a GenBank genome assembly. NCBI's taxonomy places the organism in Eukaryota, Fungi, Ascomycota, Sordariomycetes, Xylariales, Xylariaceae.
ACCAUCAUCGUCUAGUGGUUUAGGAUACCAGAUUUUCAUCACCGUGGAUAUUUUCUGGGGGCCGGAGUUCGAACCUCCGUGAUGGUG